Molecule: ribosomal RNA, 497 nt
Filed under: uncultured bacterium
Lineage: Bacteria
Description: partial 16S ribosomal RNA
Rfam family: Bacterial small subunit ribosomal RNA
Source: RNAcentral
GAUGAACGCUGGCGGCGUGCCUAAUACAUGCAAGUCGAGCGAACGGACGAGAAGCUUGCUUCUCUGAUGUUAGCGGCGGACGGGUGAGUAACACGUGGAUAACCUACCUAUAAGACUGGGAUAACUUCGGGAAACCGGAGCUAAUACCGGAUAAUAUUUUGAACCGCAUGGUUCAAAAGUGAAAGACGGUCUUGCUGUCACUUAUAGAUGGAUCCGCGCUGCAUUAGCUAGUUUGUAAGGUAAAGGCUUACCAAGGCAACGAUGCAUAGCCGACCUGAGAGGGUGAUCGGCCACACUGGAACGGAGACACGGUCCAGACUCCUACGGGAGGCAGCAGUAGGGAAUCUUCCGCAAUGGGCGAAAGCCUGACGGAGCAACGCCGCGUGAGUGAUGAAGGUCUUCGGAUCGUAAAACUCUGUUAUUAGGGAAGAACAUAUGUGUAAGUAACUGUGCACAUCUUGACGGUACCUAAUCAGAAAGCCACGGCUAACUACGUG